UUGUUAUCAAAUGCAUAAUUUAACUAGUAUUGACAAAGUUUUCCAACUUAGAAACCCUCUCCGUAACAUUUCUGGCCAUUCUAAAAAUUACAAUUUCUUAUUUGACUGGGUUAGUCAAAUAAGAUUUAUAUUUUGGCGGGAAGCCCUUCGAUUAUUUCCGUAAAUGUUCGGAUCGGAGUCACGUGAUUGAUAUAUGUCAAACCAAAAUAAUGGCGGACAAGACGAAAGGUGUGAAACGUAUAGGCUUACAAGAGAAGAAGAUUUCAGAUUCGGAAAGGAAAAGUGGAAAGAAACCGUGAUUUCAUUCAAUGAAGGAUAUACAUCGGUAGUGAAUCAAGGCGGUGAAAAUUUCUAAAAAGGGAAAUUAAAGCCAAAAGCGACCGUGAAGUUGUAACAUUUUCUGAUUGACAGAAAUAGAUCAAUUACAUCAUCAUCAUCACGUGUUACAAUACCAAGGACAUUAAAGAUGACCUCAAUGCAUUUGCAGGGGAAAGUAAGGUGUCUGAAAAGGAGUUAAGUGAUGACAGGUAGCACUAAAGAAAGCCCAUUAAAUCCUUUUGAAGUGGAAUUGUGACAUAGAAAUUCAUUUCUGGUUUAGUUGUAAAACUGCCACAAACUAGAAACAAUUCAUGAUUGUGGAGUACACCAAUGCCUAGUACAAUCAUGGUCCAUUAUAAAUCAGAACAAACCAUGGCUGCAAGGAAACAACAUGCACAUGGCCUGAAAGAUCUGGCUGGCGUUUUGAUGUAUAAAAGUUUUCUGAAUAAGAUGAUAUACUAUCUCAACUUGAGGUAUGUUCUCACCCGGUAUAAUGAAAUAAAUUAAUAUUGUCCAUAGGGUUCUCUCUGGAUCAGUUUUAGUUUGCACCACCAGAUUAGCCAAUCAGAAAAUGUUGGAGCCAAUGGCUCCAAAGUUGGAGCCAUUUAUUCUGCAAGGGAGAUAUGCCUGUCUUUGUUAAGAUAUGCUUGCAGUUUGAUGUGAAAUUUUUAUAUGGAUUUAUUUUCCUAAAUAAAAAGGAGUUAUGAUAAGUCCUGAUUAAUACAAAGUUCA
Molecule: long non-coding RNA, 1050 nt
Organism: Ruditapes philippinarum (Manila clam)
Lineage: Eukaryota; Metazoa; Mollusca; Bivalvia; Venerida; Veneridae
Exons: 4
Source: RefSeq, a predicted model, not a curated record